RNAcentral lists this ribosomal RNA (430 nucleotides) under Bacteroidota bacterium. RNAcentral describes it as "Bacteroidetes bacterium partial 16S ribosomal RNA". It matches the Rfam family "Bacterial small subunit ribosomal RNA", at positions 355 to 776 of the family's 1533-position model. The record is from RNAcentral. Lineage: Bacteria; Pseudomonadati; Bacteroidota.
UAGGGAAUCUUCGGCAAUGGGGGGAACCCUGACCGAGCAACGCCGCGUGAGUGAAGAAGGUUUUCGGAUCGUAAAGCUCUGUUGUUAAGGAAGAACGAGUGUGAGAAUGGAAAGUUCAUACUGUGACGGUACUUAACCAGAAAGCCACGGCUAACUACGUGCCAGCAGCCGCGGUAAUACGUAGGUGGCAAGCGUUGUCCGGAUUUAUUGGGCGUAAAGCGAGCGCAGGCGGUCAAUUAAGUCUGAUGUGAAAGCCCCCGGCUCAACCGGGGAGGGUCAUUGGAAACUGGUUGACUUGAGUGCAGAAGAGGAGAGUGGAAUUCCAUGUGUAGCGGUGAAAUGCGUAGAUAUAUGGAGGAACACCAGUGGCGAAGGCGACUCUCUGGUCUGUAACUGACGCUGAGGCUCGAAAGCGUGGGGAUCAAACAGG